Molecule: long non-coding RNA, 307 nt
Filed under: Setaria italica (foxtail millet)
Lineage: Eukaryota; Viridiplantae; Streptophyta; Magnoliopsida; Poales; Poaceae
Description: long non-coding RNA (SITA_LNC001876)
Source: RNAcentral
UCCGCAAGGCUGUCCUCCAGCAGCCUCAUGAUAGCCCGCCUCAACGGCCGUGCACCGUAGCUGGGGUUGUAGCCUUCAUCCACCACCCGCUCCUUGAACUUCUCAGUAACCUGCAGGUUGAUGUCCUUGGCCUUGAGUCGGUCGAAGACCUCCUGGAGCAUAAUAUCCGCGAUCUCCUUGACCUCGAGCUUGGUGAGCUGCCUGAAGACGAUCAUCUCAUCGAGACGGUUGAGGAACUCGGGGCGGAAGUACUGCUUCAUCUCCUCAAUGACGAGGCUCUUGAUCCUGCCAUAGCUGCUGUCCUUCU